Triticum aestivum (bread wheat) is the source of this 135-nucleotide non-coding RNA. The record is from Rfam. Lineage: Eukaryota; Viridiplantae; Streptophyta; Magnoliopsida; Poales; Poaceae.
UGUGUACUCCUUCCGUCCGAAAAUACUUGUCAUCAAAAUGAAUAGAAAGGGAUGUAUCUAAACAUAUUUUAGUUUGAGGUACAUCUCUUUUUAUCCAUUUUGAUAACAAGUAUUUUCGGACAGAGGGAGUACUUG